GUCCACGCCCUAAACGAUGUCAACUGGUUGUUGGGGAAGCAAUUCCUUAGUGACGAAGCUAACGCGAGAAGUUGACCGCCUGGGGAGUACGGUCGCAAGAUUAAAACUCAAAGGAAUUGACGGGGACCCGCACAAGCGGUGGAUUAUGUGGAUUAAUUCGAUGCAACGCGAAAAACCUUACCUACCCUUGACAUGUCCGGAACUUGCCAGAGAUGGCUUGGUGCCCGAAAGGGAACCGGAACACAGGUGCUGCAUGGCUGUCGU
Molecule: ribosomal RNA, 264 nt
Filed under: uncultured bacterium
Lineage: Bacteria
Description: partial 16S ribosomal RNA
Rfam family: Bacterial small subunit ribosomal RNA
Source: RNAcentral